UAUAUACGUUGUCUCUUAUUUUGUUUGACGAUGAAUUUAUUCAAUCCAUCUCUAUAAACACAUCAACGCCUAUCUUUCUGCCGAAAGGCAGCUCCAUCCACUCUGCAUCGAAUCGUAUGAAGGCGAUGUCUAAAGCCUGCUCCAAGGUAUAUAUCCUGGUGUCUUUGGCUUCUAUCUCAACCUUCAACUGUCCUAUCUGUAUCUCCCUCUGUUCCAACCUCCCUCGUAACUCUGCUAACUCCAUCUGUGUUCGGUGAGCAGCGUCCUUGUACUGCUGUUCCGAAAUCUGGAGAGUACGAUUCUGUGCCUCCGCCUGCUCAGCUCUAACCUUUAAGUCGUCGUUCCUAACUAUCAAAUCUCUUAUCAUCUCACUGUCUGUGUACUCCUCGCUAGAGUCCAUCGUCUCUUGGGUCAAGGAAUUACUAUUUUGACUUUCGUCAUCCAUCCUAUGACCACAAUAAACGAGACAACAUCAUUACUGAAAUAAAAUAUAUUCAUCAUUAAAAUGAAGUAAUAUUUUAUUUAGUACCACUAAAACUCGAUGAAUCUCUUCAACUCAUCAUAUCCUAUAACUUCUCACCAGAGUACUUCGUCUCCUGGUUCACUGAAUAUCUAUCUUAACUUUCAUCCUCCAUUCUACUAAGGUUAUAAUUCUUCACCAGAGUUCUUCGUCUACCGAAUAUCUAUCUUAACUUUCGUUAUCCAUUCUACUAAGGUUAUAACCUAGGUUUCG
RNAcentral lists this long non-coding RNA (733 nucleotides) under Panax ginseng (ginseng). RNAcentral describes it as "long non-coding RNA (PGIN_LNC013593)". Lineage: Eukaryota; Viridiplantae; Streptophyta; Magnoliopsida; Apiales; Araliaceae. The record is from RNAcentral.